GUGGGGAAUCUUGCGCAAUGGGCGAAAGCCUGACGCAGCCAUGCCGCGUGAAUGAUGAAGGUCUUAGGAUUGUAAAAUUCUUUCACCGGGGACGAUAAUGACGGUACCCGGAGAAGAAGCCCCGGCUAACUUCGUGCCAGCAGCCGCGGUAAUACGAAGGGGGCUAGCGUUGCUCGGAAUUACUGGGCGUAAAGGGCGCGUAGGCGGACAGGUAAGUUGGGGGUGAAAGCCCGGGGCUCAACCUCGGAACUGCCUUCAAUACUGGCUGUCUUGAGUAUGAGAGAGGUGUGUGGAACUCCGAGUGUAGAGGUGAAAUUCGUAGAUAUUCGGAAGAACACCAGUGGCGAAGGCGACACACUGGCUCAUUACUGACGCUGAGGCGCGAAAGCGUGGGGAGCAAACAGGAUUAGAAACCCUUGUAGUCC
RNAcentral lists this ribosomal RNA (425 nucleotides) under uncultured bacterium. Its description in RNAcentral is "partial 16S ribosomal RNA". It matches the Rfam family "Bacterial small subunit ribosomal RNA", at positions 354 to 796 of the family's 1533-position model. The record is from RNAcentral.